This 587-nucleotide ribosomal RNA is filed under the name uncultured bacterium. RNAcentral's name for it is "partial 16S ribosomal RNA". It matches the Rfam family "Bacterial small subunit ribosomal RNA", at positions 355 to 1375 of the family's 1533-position model. The record is from RNAcentral.
UGGGGAAUUUUGGACAAUGGGCGAAAGCCUGAUCCAGCAAUGCCGCGUGUGUGAAGAAGGCCUUCGGGUUGUAAAGCACUUUUGUCCGGAAAGAAAUCCUUGGCUCUAAUACAGUCGGGGGAUGACGGUACCGGAAGAAUAAGCACCGGCUAACUACGUGCCAGCAGCCGCGGUAAUACGUAGGGUGCAAGCGUUAAUCGGAAUUACUGGGCGUAAAGCGUGCGCAGGCGGUUUGCUAAGACCGAUGUGAAAUCCCCGGGCUCAACCUGGGAACUGCAUUGGUGACUGGCAGGCUAGAGUAUGGCAGAGGGGGGUAGAAUUCCACGUGUAGCAGUGAAAUGCGUAGAGAUGUGGAGGAAUACCGAUGGCGAAGGCAGCCCCCUGGGGCCAAUACUGACGCUCAUGCACGAAAGCGUGGGGAGCAAACAGGAUUAGAUACCCUGGGUAGUCCACGCCCUAAACGAUGUCAACUAGUUGUUGGGGAUUCAUUUCCUUAGUAACGUAGCUAACGCGUGAAGUUGACCGCCUGGGGAGUACGGUCGCAAGAUUAAAACUCAAAUGAAUUGACGGGGUCAUAGCUGUUUCCU